Molecule: ribosomal RNA, 487 nt
Filed under: uncultured bacterium
Lineage: Bacteria
Description: bacterial SSU rRNA
Rfam family: Bacterial small subunit ribosomal RNA
Source: RNAcentral
CGCUGGCGGCGUGCCUAACACAUGCAAGUCGAGCGAUGAAGCUUCUUCGGAAGUGGAUUAGUGGCAAACGGGUGAGUAACGCGUAGGCAACCUGCCCUCAAGAUGGGACAACGGCCCGAAAGGACCGCUAAUACCGAAUGAUGUGCAACUACCGCAUGGUAGAUGCACCAAAGGCGGAGCAAUCCGUCACUUGAGGAUGGGCCUGCGUCUGAUUAGCUGGUUGGUGAGGUAACGGCCCACCAAGGCGACGAUCAGUAGCCGGUCUGAGAGGAUGAACGGCCACAUUGGGACUGAGACACGGCCCAGACUCCUACGGGAGGCAGCAGUGGGGAAUCUUCCGCAAUGGACGAAAGUCUGACGGAGCAACGCCGCGUGAACGAUGACGGCCUUCGGGUUGUAAAGUUCUGUUAUACGGGACGAAUGGCGUAGCGGUCAAUACCCGUUACGAGUGACGGUACCGUAAGAGAAAGCCACGGCUAACUACGUG